AUGUCUAUAAUUAUCUGACUGAAUUAUUCAUUUCUAACAGUAGUUUGUGUCGUUUUGUUCGUUGUCAGUGCUCAUAUUAAAGAGACAGUUUCCGCCUGUACUCAUCUGGCAUUCACCCCUUGACUUUAUCGGCAGCUUUACGGGCUGAUCCCGACAGUACAGUCUGGCCAACAUGAACUCAGCCAGUGAGGAAUACUCGUGUUUUGGCAGUGACCAGUGUACAGGCAUCUGAAGGACAGCUUUCAUGCCACUCAGCAGUUCAACACACCUGUUCACCCGCAUCUCUGAUCUGCCAGAGUCACAAACCCACAGAGCUCACACACCUCUAUCAGAGUAGGGACGUGUAUUCACACCGCAGCAGCCCAGCCUUAUUCUGAGGAGACCCCCCUGACUCCAGCUGAAGCCCGAGCCAUUUGGCAGGAACUAAAGGCCCUAAUGGCCCCUGUGCUCUCCAUUCCUGCACUGAAGCACUUUUAUUGGUCUGACCUAGAGCUACAAUCAGUGCCUGGUCCAGUUUCCCAGCGGGUCGGCCGGACCGCUGACACAGCCCUUGUCUCGAGUCCUGAGUCCUCUGUUCAGCUGGGUGCUUUUUUCUGUCGCCUGGCCUGAACCCUAAGGACCGCAAACCCUCACUUUUUGAGGGAACUCGGUGGGCCAUCUGUCCUGGGGGUCCAGGGAGAGGGAGGACUAGGAGGAAGCCUCAGACUCAGCCUGUGUCCCAGCUGCAGUCCCCAGGACCCUUGCUUUUUGGGGAACCCGGUAGGCUCUCUGUCCUGGGGGUCCAGAGAGAGGGAGGACCAGGAGACAGCCUCGGACUCAGCCUGUGUCACAGCUGCAGUCUCCAGAGUCCUCGUCUCAUCUGGACCUCCAGCAGCUGCAGCUGCCGCCGCCUCCAGGCCCUAAGCCAGGUCCCGAGUCGCAGUUGCUGCCUCCAGCAGAGCCAGUUCCUGUUCCUGUUUCUGAGUGAGUCAGCUGGCUCGCCAAUGCCGUUUCUGAGCCCGUCCCUGUUCCUGGGCCUGAGCGGGUCAGCUGGGCCGCCAACGCCACCUCAGGCCUUGUUCCUGUUUCUGAGUGGGUCGGUCAAACCGCCGACACUGCCUCCGAGCCUGUUCCUGUUCCUGUUCCCGAGUGGCUCACCCAGCGUGCCGACGCCGCCUCCAAGCCAGUUCCUGUUCCUGUUUCCGAACGGGUCGGCUGGACCACCGACGCUGCCUCAGACUUUGUUCCUGUUCCCGAACAAGUCGGAUGGACAGCUAAUGCCGUCCCUGAGUCCACCCCUCAGCGUUGUUACCUAAGCGUCUCUGCUGGGUCUGAGAACCGCAGGUGUGUUGAUGACAGUGUCCCUGCCAGGGUCCCAGAUCUUCAGUGUGCCGAGGACACGCCAACAGGAGCCUCGAUGCCUCGAUGCCGCCUCUGCCCUUCCUCCUGAGGUGUGCACUGACGAUGACGUCAACGCUGCCCCUGUUCCUGUUCCUCCAGAGGGAUUCACCAACAAGGAUGGUGAAGCAAUCCCUCUUAAGCGGGUUCGCUGGCGAGCCGGCGCCGCCUCCGAGCCUGAUCCUGUUCCCGAGCGGGUCGGCUGGCGAGCCAACGCCGUCGCCAUACACUGAGCACAAGUUGGAGGUGGCAUCUUAUGGGACCGAGUCCAGUCAGGAAGCCACCUCGAGAUGGACAGAGAGCAUGCGUCAGAAAAUAUAUUACUAAAGGUCUUUGAGUAUCCAGAAAUGAAGACUAACGGGAGGAUGACUUGUAUAAAACUGCAAGUGGAAGUGGCCAGAGGAUCCUAUCUCUGUUGGCUACACAAACAAGAUACUCCAGAUGAUCACCAACAAUGGGAAACACAUGCUUUACAUUUUCCCUCUUCAAGAACAAAUUGACACUACACCCCUUCUCUAUUAAUAUCGGCUUGAUAGCGACAAACCCAGCAGAGAGACGACAUCAGCACUCUGGCCUUUUCUUGGGACUUGCCACCAGUAAUUCAGAGAUGGCUAUGUCAGCAUGUGGCAAUCCUUCCUUAACCAGAUGUCAUUCUGUGGCCAGACAAUCAGCAGCAGCAUUCUUGAGGACAUGCAUAGACA
This is a long non-coding RNA of Monopterus albus (swamp eel), 2078 nucleotides long. RefSeq lists it as uncharacterized. Lineage: Eukaryota; Metazoa; Chordata; Actinopteri; Synbranchiformes; Synbranchidae. The record is from RefSeq and is a predicted model, not a curated record. The transcript has 6 exons.